GGGAAAUAAAAGCAGAGAGCAAAGAGUGUCCAUCAUGGGAAAUGCUGCUGAGAGGUCAGGCGAGGAUGACUUUCAAAAAGCCCAUUGGACAAGAGAUUGACCUUAGGCCUCAUCUGUAAAUUGGAAUGAUUGAUGGUAUUUAGGUCAGCAUCGAAAUAUCCAGUAAAUAUUAGCAAUUAUCAUUCAGUGACACGAGUAACUGUUAGAGAACUUUAGGAAAAACACCUAAUUAAUGAAGUACCAAAUUAGGGUAACAUUUAGUCAGAAAGAAAAGGGAGAUUGAGUGUUUAGGAGAAAGUGUUUAAAUGUAAAGGAGAAGUUCUUGGGAGGAAGAGAAAGGAGAUGCAUGUUGGCUUGGCCUUUAAUGGCAAUGGAGAAAAGCAUCACCAAAGGACAGACUUGAGCCAAGGAGCCUGAAGUGUGGAAUUAUGUAGAACGGCAAGGGCUGUGGUCAAGUGAUGAUGGAGAGCAGGCGGAAGAGCUAUGGUGGGAGCCGAGCCCGUACAGAAGGUCACUUUAAUGAGCCUGAAUAUUUGAAAUUAUCUUCUGUAAGUAUAAAGGAGCUACUGGCAGUAGUAAAAGAGUAGAAAGUUUAACCUGAUUGUUGUAGGGAAGGUAAUCUUAAUAAUAGAGAGAAGGAUGGAUGAUAGAGGAGAAAGAUUUAUGUAAGAGCUGUCCACUUUGUGGUUCCUGGUAAAAGAAUUUUACUAUAGAACAACAACAAAAAUACUUGUAGCUAUUUGACCUCAUCCAGUUCACUUACCUCAUUAAGACUCAGUUUCCCAUCAAAAAAAAAAAUGGGGCCACUAAUAUUUAUCUCUGAGGUUCUUUUGAGUGUUACAUUUGAUCUUAAGUAGCUUGUUAUAUAGUAAGUGCUUCAAUUAGUCCCAUUCCCUAUCAUCGCUUUCCUCCCACUCUAUGUUGCUCUCCUAGGAUUCUCAAGACAUGUAAAUUGGUUUCCUAACUCUGUUAUGC
RNAcentral lists this long non-coding RNA (975 nucleotides) under Marmota monax (woodchuck). The record is from RNAcentral. Lineage: Eukaryota; Metazoa; Chordata; Mammalia; Rodentia; Sciuridae.